This 506-nucleotide long non-coding RNA is filed under the name Mytilus galloprovincialis (Mediterranean mussel). Lineage: Eukaryota; Metazoa; Mollusca; Bivalvia; Mytilida; Mytilidae. The record is from RNAcentral.
GGACCCUUUGGACUUAAUGUAGACCAAUUUGAAAACAGGACCAAUUAAGAAUCUGAAUACACGGUUAGAUUUGGCAUAUUAAAGAACCCCAAUAAUUCAUUUUUUGAUGAAAUCAAACAAAGUUUAAUUUUGGACCCUUUUCCCUCCUAAUUCAUUGGGACCAAAACUCCCAAAAUCAAUCCAAACCUUCCUUUUGUGGUCCCAAACCUUCCUUUUGUGGUCAUAAACCUUGUUAAAAUUUCAUAGAUUUCUAUUAACUUAUACUAAAGUUCUUGUGCAAAACCCAAGAAAAAUGCUUAUUUUGGACCUGUUUUUGGCCCCUUAUUCCUAAACUGUUGGGACCAAGACUCCCAAAAUCAAUCCCAACCUUCUUUUUGUGGUCAUAGACCUUAUGUUAAAAUUUCAUAGAUUUCUGUUUAAUUAUACUAAAGUUAUAGUGCGAAAACCAAGAAAAUUGCUUAUUUGGGCCCUUUUUGGCCCCUAAUUCCUACACUGUUGGGACCAAA